RNAcentral lists this ribosomal RNA (465 nucleotides) under uncultured bacterium. RNAcentral describes it as "partial 16S ribosomal RNA". It matches the Rfam family "Bacterial small subunit ribosomal RNA", at positions 338 to 795 of the family's 1533-position model. The record is from RNAcentral.
CCUACGUGGUGCAGCAGUGGGGAAUAUUGCGCAAUGGGCGAAAGCCUGACGCAGCGACGCCGCGUGAGGGAUGAAGGUCUUCGGAUCGUAAACCUCUGUCAGCAGGGAAGAACGGUCACUGUGCUAAUCAGCAGUGAAUUGACGGUACCUGCAAAGGAAGCACCGGCUAACUCCGUGCCAGCAGCCGCGGUAAUACGGAGGGUGCGAGCGUUAAUCGGAAUUACUGGGCGUAAAGCGCUCGUAGGCGGUAUGUCAAGUCAAGGGUGAAAUCCCCGCGCUCAACGUGGGAACUGCCUUUGAAACUGGCAAACUGGAGUGUGUGAGAGGAUAGUGGAAUUCCAGGUGUAGGAGUGAAAUCCGUAGAUAUCUGGAGGAACAUCAGUGGCGAAGGCGACUAUCUGGCACAUAACUGACGCUGAGGAGCGAAAGCGGGGGUAGCAAACAGGAUUAGAUACCCUAGUAGUC